UGUCGGUUAAGUCCGCUAACGAGCGCAACCCUCGCUGUGUGUUAUAUGUGUCACACGGGACUGCCGGUCUUAAGCCGGAGGAAGGUGGGGAUGAUGUCAAGUCAGCAUGGCCUUUAUAUCCUGGGCUACACACACGCUACAAUGGCCAACACAAUAGGUUGCUAAGCCGCGAGGUGGCGCCAAUCCAUAAAGUUGGUCUCAGUUCAGAUUGUAGGCUGCAACCCGCCUGCAUGAAGAUGGAGUUGCUAGUAACCGCAGGUCAGCUAUACUGCGGUGAAUACGUUCCCGGGGGCUU
Molecule: ribosomal RNA, 295 nt
Filed under: uncultured Leptolinea sp.
Lineage: Bacteria; Bacillati; Chloroflexota; Anaerolineae; Anaerolineales; Anaerolineaceae
Description: partial 16S ribosomal RNA
Rfam family: Bacterial small subunit ribosomal RNA
Source: RNAcentral